GAUGAACGCUAGCGACAGGCUUAACACAUGCAAGUCGAGGGGCAGCACAGGUAGCAAUACCGGGUGGCGACCGGCGCACGGGUGAGUAACGCGUAUGCAACUUACCUAUCAGAGGGGGAUAACCCGGCGAAAGUCGGACUAAUACCGCAUGAAGCAGGGGUCCCGCAUGGGGAUAUUUGCUAAAGAUUCAUCGCUGAUAGAUAGGCAUGCGUUCCAUUAGGCAGUUGGCGGGGUAACGGCCCACCAAACCGACGAUGGAUAGGGGUUCUGAGAGGAAGGUCCCCCACAUUGGUACUGCGACACGGACCAAACUCCUACGGGAGGCAGCAGUGAGGAAUAUUGGUCAAUGGCCGAGAGGCUGAACCAGCCAAGUCGCGUGAGAGAUGAAGGUUCUAUGGAUCGUAAACCUCUUUUAUAAGGGAAUAAAGUGCGGGACGUGUCCCGUUUUGUAUGUACCUUAUGAAUAAGGAUCGGCUAACUCCGUG
Molecule: ribosomal RNA, 485 nt
Filed under: uncultured bacterium
Lineage: Bacteria
Description: partial 16S ribosomal RNA
Rfam family: Bacterial small subunit ribosomal RNA
Source: RNAcentral